RNAcentral lists this ribosomal RNA (253 nucleotides) under uncultured bacterium. Its description in RNAcentral is "partial 16S ribosomal RNA". It matches the Rfam family "Bacterial small subunit ribosomal RNA", at positions 524 to 776 of the family's 1533-position model. The record is from RNAcentral.
UACAGGGGGGGCAAGCGUUGUUCGGAAUUACUGGGCGUAAAGGGCUCGUAGGCGGUUCGUCACGUCGGGAGUGAAAACUCGGGGCUUAACCCCGAGCCUGCUUCCGAUACGGGCAGACUAGAGGUAGGCAGGGGAGAGCGGAACUCCUGGUGUAGCGGUGGAAUGCGCAGAUAUCAGGAGGAACACCGGUGGCGAAGGCGGGUCUCUGGGCCGAUACUGACGCUGAGGAGCGAAAGCGUGGGGAGCGAACAGG